RNAcentral lists this ribosomal RNA (389 nucleotides) under Apostichopus japonicus (Japanese sea cucumber). RNAcentral describes it as "partial 16S ribosomal RNA". It matches the Rfam family "Bacterial large subunit ribosomal RNA", at positions 1962 to 2547 of the family's 2925-position model. The record is from RNAcentral. Lineage: Eukaryota; Metazoa; Echinodermata; Holothuroidea; Aspidochirotida; Stichopodidae.
UAAUCACUUGUCUCUUAAAUGGGGACCUGUAUGAAUGGCUUUUCACUCUUUCACUGUCUCUCUUCCCUCCCUCCUAAUCUUCUAAUCACGUGAAGAAGCGUGAACAAAUAAGAAAGACGAGAAGACCCUGUCGAGCUUAAGCUAACCCUGAAAUGUCGUCUACCUUUUUUCUUAGAAAGAGGUAAAUUUCAGAUAAAGUUUUGGUUGGGGCAACCGUGGAGAAAAAGAAUCCUCCAGUUAGUUAGGAAGAAAACCUUUCGCCUAAAAAAUUUAGCGACCCAGUUACUCUGGUAAACGGAAAAAGUUACCGCAGGGAUAACAGCGUUAUCUUCUCUAAGAGCCCAUAUUGACGAGAAGGAUUGCGACCUCGAUGUUGGAUUGGGGUAACC